This 2442-nucleotide long non-coding RNA is filed under the name Homo sapiens (human). RNAcentral describes it as "HSALNT0162928". Lineage: Eukaryota; Metazoa; Chordata; Mammalia; Primates; Hominidae. The record is from RNAcentral.
CGGCUGUUAACAUAAAGAGACUGAUUUGGAACAGGAUGAGGAACCCCAGGAGAAGCCUUGGCAAUAAUAUUCCGAUACUGCCCAUCCGAAUCAGUCACAGCAGACUGGUCAGACCUGAUUUAACUCUGAUGAAUAUUUCCUUCUUAUCCUUAAAUCUGAAAAAUGCUGACACAACCCUCUGAGGACUUUACUAGAGGAGGAAUGUCAGAACUAAUCUGCAGAUCCUGGCACACUGUCUGGAAAACAGGAAGUAUCCAGUAAAAGAUUCUAAAAAUGCUUCUUGGCAGUCUCCUACCUUGUAUUGUUCCAGAUGAGACAUCUGCUGUUGUCUUUGACUGCUUUAUUCAGACUGCUUUUAAGUUUUAACUUUUAUCUUUGGCUUUGAAAAUUUUUAUUAUGAUGUGUCUUACUGAAGUUUUCUUCAUGUUUUUCUCAUGCUUGGGAUUUGUUGAGCUUCUUGAAUCUGCCCGUGUGUAGAGUCUGUCGAAUCUGGAAAUUUGCAGCCAUUGUGUCAUAAAAUACUUUCCCUUCCUCUUUCAAGAAUAUCAAUCACACAUAGCCAUUUGACAUUGUCCCAUAGCUCAUGGAUGCUCUGUUUAUUUUGGCUUAGUUUAUUUUUUCUCUGUGUGUUUCAUUUCAGAUAGUUUUUAUUGUUCUAUCUUCAACAUCUCUAGCCUUUUCUUCAAACGUGUUUAUUUUUUUGUUAAUCUGUUAAUCCUAUCCAGUAUAUUUUUCAUAUUAGACAUUGCAUUCCUUUUUCAUAUAUUCCAUGGCUCUAUUUAUCAUGCUCAUAAUUUAUCUUCAUGUACAUUUAGAAUGUAAUAACAUUUUAUUGUCCUUGCUAUUAAUUCUAUCAUAUCUGUAACUCUGAGGUCUGUUUCUAUUAUUUUUUUUUUUACUACUUAAUGGGUCACAAUUUCUUGCUUUUUAAAAUACCUAGUAAUGUUUCAUUGGAAUAUUAGACAUUAUACAUUUUACCUGGUUACAUGAUAAAUGUCUUUCUGUUUCUUCAGAUAUUCUUGAAUGUUGUGCUAGGAGAGAGGCACAUUACUUGGAAGCAGUGUGAUCCUUUUUGGUUCUUUCCAUAGCCUCAGGUAGUUUCCUUAGAUGUCUGUGCCAAUCAACAUUCAACUGCAGACUUAAGGAAGACUCUGCAAAUCUCAUGGUCUGCCCCUUUGUACAGAUGUUUUCUCGCCAGUAUUCUGUGAUAUGAAUUCUAGCUGCCUUAGACUUACCAGUCACCUACUUUUGCCUCCUAAACUCAGAGAUACCUUCAUGCUUCACCUGGAUUACCUCUGAAAAGUAGCUCAAAAGUAUCUUCAGGCUAUAAUCCAGCAUAAUCACAGUGUUCACUUCAUUUGUCUCUCCUCUCUAAAGGAACACUGUUCUGAUAACCAAUAUAUGAAAAUGUGUUUUAACUAACUUCAUUUCAUUUUGUAGUUGUUUCAGUCAGAUAGGAAAAUAUAGACUCUAUUACUCUAUCCUGGCUUAAAAUGAAAAUUCCCCAGAGAUGUUCCAAUUAUUUGAAGAAAUUUUUGUUGUCUUUUUGCAAGCCUUCCUAUGGUUUGAAUACUUGUGUCCCUCCAAAAUUCAUGCUGAAAUGUAAUCUCCAAUGCAACAUUAUUAAGAAAUGAGUCCUUAGGAGAUGAUUAGGCCAGGAGGGCUUUGUCCUCCUGGAUUGGAUUAGUACCUGAAGAGAAUUAGCUAGGCCCUUUUGUCUUUCUGUCCCUUCUGCCAUGCAAGUACACAGUGGCCCUCACUGGACACUGAACCUGCUAGUACCUUUAUCUUGGAUGUUCAGCCUCCAGAAUUGUGAAAAAUAAAUUUCUGUUUAUAUAAAUUACCCUGGAUUCUGAUAUUUUGUUAUUGCAGCACAAAUGAACUAAUACAUAAAUUGGUACCAAGAAGUUAGGUAUUUCUAUAAUAAACACCUAGAAAAAUGAAAGCAGCUUUGGAACUGGGUGAUAGCUACAGGUUGAACCAUAAAGUGCUAUCUUGGGGAGAGCUCAGAAGAAAAGGAAAGCUGUAAAGAAAGCCAGAGAUUAAGUGGCUGUGAUUAGAACAUUGGUGAAAAUGUGAAGACAAUUCUGAUAAAGUCUCAGGUGAAAAUGAGAAACAAAGUACAGUAGUCUUUUAUCUGUAGAUUUUUUUCUGCAGUUUCAUUUACCCAUGGUUAACUUUGGUUUGGAAAUAUUAAAUGGAAAAUUCCCUUAAAAAAACUAUAAGUUUUAAAUUGGUUACCAUUGUGAGUAGCAUAAUAAAAUCUCUUGCCAUCCUGCUCCAUGUUCCAUCCUACCCUGGAUGGAAUCAUCACUUUCUACACAGUAUCCACACUACCUUUGCUACCUGCCUGUUAGUAACUUAGUCACUCUGAUUUGUCUCAAAAAUUAUUCACAGGCCUCAAGAUUUAAAGUUGUUUUCCUUGUGGGGUUUUAGACUUCC